GUCUAUGGCCAUGCUACUGAACAAGUCCUAUCCUGUCUCAUCUUGGAAGCUAAGCAGGGUCGGGUCUGGUUAGUACUUGGAUGGGAGACCACCUAGGAAGACCAGGUGCUGUAGGGG
Molecule: ribosomal RNA, 117 nt
Filed under: Pteropus alecto (black flying fox)
Lineage: Eukaryota; Metazoa; Chordata; Mammalia; Chiroptera; Pteropodidae
Source: RNAcentral